GGUAGGUGACCUGCGG
RNAcentral lists this ribosomal RNA (16 nucleotides) under Sticta viviana. RNAcentral describes it as "partial 18S ribosomal RNA". Lineage: Eukaryota; Fungi; Ascomycota; Lecanoromycetes; Peltigerales; Lobariaceae. The record is from RNAcentral.